AACGCUAGCUACAGGCUUAACACAUGCAAGUCGAGGGGAAACGACAUCGAAAGCUUGCUUUUGAUGGGCGUCGACCGGCGCACGGGUGAGUAACGCGUAUCCAACCUGCCCACCACUUGGGGAUAACCUUGCGAAAGUAAGACUAAUACCCGAUGAUAUCCCUAGACGACAUCUGAAAGGGAUUAAAGAUUUAUCGGUGAUGGAUGGGGAUGCGUCUGAUUAGCUUGUUGGCGGGGUAACGGCCCACCAAGGCAACGAUCAGUAGGGGUUCUGAGAGGAAGGUCCCCCACAUUGGAACUGAGACACGGUCCAAACUCCUACGGGAGGCAGCAGUGAGGAAUCUUGGUCAAUGGGCGCAAGGCCUGAACCAGCCACGUAGCGUGAAGGAAGACUGCCCUUAGGGUUGUAAACUUCUUUUAUAAGGGAAUAAAGUGAGUCUCGUGAGACUUUUUGCAUGUACCUUAUGAAUAAGGACCGGCUAAUUCCGUGCCAGCAGCCGCGGUAAUUCGGAAGGUCCGGGCGUUAUCCGGAUUUAUUGGGUUUAAAGGGAGCGUAGGCCGGAGAUUAAGCGUGUUGUGAAAUGUAGUGGCUCAACCUCUGCACUGCAGCGCGAACUGGUCUUCUUGAGUACGCACAGCGUGGGCGGAAUUCGUGGUGUAGCGGUGAAAUGCUUAGAUAUCACGAAGAACUCCGAUUG
RNAcentral lists this ribosomal RNA (697 nucleotides) under uncultured bacterium. RNAcentral describes it as "bacterial SSU rRNA". It matches the Rfam family "Bacterial small subunit ribosomal RNA", at positions 32 to 715 of the family's 1533-position model. The record is from RNAcentral.